AUUUACACACAAAAUGGGACCAAAGAUUUGCGCAGCUGAUGGUUGGAAGCUUUGUCUCAGGUUCAGGUGGUCCCGGGUUCAAGCCCCACUUCUCCAGAUGGGCAUAUAAAUGCAAAUACUGAAGGAGAAAGAAGGAAUUGAACCCGGGCCCGCACGCUCAUUAGCCCAAGCUCGAGCCCACUUGACCACUACGGCACACUGGCAUAGCAUGAUCCUUCGGGUGCAUGAUAGUACAAAAUAAAUAUGACCAAAAAGUUGCGCGGAAACUGAGUCAAAAUGGUUUAAAACUUCGACAGAGGUUCGGUUGGGCCCGGGUUCGAGCCCCACAGGCACACAUAAGUUUAACUAUUGAAUAACAGGAAAGAGAAGGAAUUGAACCCACAUCCAUGUGAACAUGAAGCACAUUCACUGACCACUCAACCAUUUUCUGGCUAGUCAAAUCUUAUUCGGCGGUUGUAUUUAUCCUUCGUGUGCAGGAAAGUACAACUAUUACGCAAAAUUUUGCUGAAAUUCACACAAAACGGUUCAGUGGUGUAAAACGUUCCCUUCGGUUUCGAGGGUCUUGGGUUCAAGCCUCACCUGGAUUCAUAAAUGCAGAUAUAGAAGACAAAGAUAGACUCGAACCCACGUCAACGUCAUCAUGGUGCAAAGUCGUAGACCACUUGACUAUUUCGGCUUGUCGAAAAGCUGAUCUGGAAGGUUGUAUUUAUCCUUUGCUGGCAUAUUGCUCAGGGAUAAAUAUGACCAAAAAAUUGCGCAGAAACUCGGAAAAAACGGUUUAGUGGGGUAAAACUCCGCCUCGGGUUCAGUUGGUCUCCAGUUCGAGCCUCACAAAGACGCACCAGUGAAAAUAUUCAAGGGCAGUCAAGAGAGGCAAAGGAAGGAAUUGAACCUGCAACCAUCUGAACACGAGGCAAAGUCCUCGACUGCUUGUCCAUUACCCGCUUACCAAAACUGGAUUUGGAGGUUGUAUUUAUCCCUCGGGUGCAUGAAAGUACAAAAUAAAUAUGACCGAAAAAUUGCGCAGAAACUCAGCUAAAGUAGUCGAGAGGUGUAAAACGUCGCCUUGGGUUCAGGUGGUCUCCGGUUCGAGCCUCACUUGCCCUCAUGGACGCAUAGAUGCCAAUAUGGAAGGACUAACAUAGAACUGAACCCGAGUCAACGCGAACACGUGGCAAGGUCCUAGACCACAUGACCAUCUUGGCGUGUCCAAAUACGAUUUGGAGGUGGUAUUUAUCCUUCACGUGCAUGAAAGUAAAAAUUAAUAUGACACGAAAAAUCGUGCAGAAACUCAGAUUAAAUGGAUGAGUGGUGUAAAAGUUUGCCUCGGGUUCUGAUGGUCUCCGGUUCGAGCCUCAGUUGUCCUCAUGGCUACAUAAAUGCUAAUACUGAAGGACAAAGAAGGAAUUGAACCGAGAUACGUCUGAACAUGAGGUAAGGUUGUAGACCGCUUGUCCAUUUUGACUUGACAAAAACUGAUCUGGAGGUCGGAUUUAUCCUUCACGUGCAGGGAAGUUCAAGACAAAUAUGACCAAAAAAUCUGCGCAGCAACUCGGAUAAAAUAGUCAAGUGGUGUAAAAGCCCGCCUCCGGUAUUGAGGGUUUCGGGUUCGAGCCUCACACGGACCUCUAAAUUCGAAGAUUGAAGGUCGACGAAGGAAUCGAACCCGGAUCCACCUAAACAUGAGGCAAGGUUCUAGACCACUUGACCAUUUCAUCUCACCAAAGCUUACUUUGGAGGUUGUAUUUAUCCUUUGUGCACAUGGAAGUUGAAGAUAAAUAUGACGAAAAAAUCGUGCAAAAAUUCAGAGAAAAUGGCUCAGUGGGGUAAAACUCUGGCUUGGGUUCAGUUGGUCCUGGGUUCGAGCCUCACUGCUCCUCAUGAACGCAUAAAUACAAAGAUUGAAGGACAAAGUCAGAUUCGAACCCGGACCCACCUAAACAUGAGUCGAGGUCCUUGACCACUUGACCAUUUUCCAUUCAUCCAAACUGGCUUUGGGGGUCGCAUUUAUCGUACGACGUCCGCUUUUGCCCUUGGGCCUCGCGUCCACAUGUGGAAUAAAUACGAGCAAAAGUGGAAAAAACCAGCAUGUGAAGUUAGCUCACAGGAUUGUCACAGGCACUCGGUUGCUGGCGGUUUGGGUUCGAAACCCGCAGGGUUCUCCCUUUAGACGUCUUCUUUCGGGUUUUUCAGUCAAAACGUUUUAUUUUUUUGUUCUUUUUUAUUCUUUCUGUUCAAUAAAGUUUUUUAAAAAAAAACAACACAGCGGCAGGUGUGCUAACGUGCGCAGCUGCACGCUAUUUAAGCCGCGACUGAUCGCCUGCGUGUUCUUUCUCCGCCGGCUGACAGCAUCACGUCGUCAGCGCUCUCCGCACGCUUCCACCGGUCAUUCCGCCAUCUGGAGACGAGUCCGUUUGGCCACAGCCCGGCUUGCGUCACUUUCACGUUCCUGUGGGAACACCCGAAACCGCAUUGACGUCCAGCGGUGAGGAUGCGAAAAGUUCUCGACGUCCCGCUUUUGUGUGCAGUUACGACGACCUCGACUUUAUGCGGCGCCGCCUGAGGACCGAGAUGCUGCGGGAAGGAACUGGACCUCGCUGGUUCCCACCAAAACUGCAAUCAGGACCGCCAUCAAUGGAAGUUACUCAUUGCCCUUCGUGUCCACUAGGUGGUGCCCUGGAGAAACUUGGACCGAGUGGUUUUGAGGAUUUCCUUUGACUUUGGGAGGCUUCCAGAACGUGCCAUCGUGGAAAAAGAUCCUGGACCUGCUGGGCAAACUGACGUUCUACAUGAAUGUUCAGAAGAGACUGAGGAACAUGUUCAACGACCUAAACGUCACAAGGUCAUGCUGGUUCUGGAGACGGGGGGAACACACACUCUGGAGGAGAGAAAAAUGCAAAUUUAAACAUUUCUUUUCAUUUUCUUCCUCUGGAUCCUGCACCUGCUGGACAAAGACUGUUCUACAUCACUGCAGGCUGAAGCACAUCAACAACCUCCUGAGUGCUCAGUCCCAAGAAAAAAUGGAGAUCACGGCACAUUGGUCGACGCACUCAAGCUGGUUAUGGUGACCGUCAUCAGCAAAUUCCAAUAAUAUUUAAUCGCAUGUCGCAUUGUCGACGACCACAUCGGAAGGUGCUGAAGCCUGACAAGUUGGAGACAGGCUUGCAAUGUUUGCGCCGCUCAACUUGGUGUGAAUGCAGCAGUUCGAGCACUUGGAUCAAGUUUCAUCUCGUCAAAUUUGUCCUGACUGCCUUUUGUUUGCCAUCAUCCAGUGGAGCGAGAGGAACAAGCUGCACGAGGCUGAGCCGUUGUCAUUUCCGCUGAGGUUGACACGCUACAGCACAAAAUGGAUGCCUUAAACAUUAAACCUCUCAUUCUAAUUCCACCAAACCUGCAUUAAUUUCAAGGCCCGUCGGGGGACCAGAGUCCAGCAUCCCCAAGCACGUUGGACUGAUUUCAUGAUCUGCUUUGUCAAGAUGUCCGUUUUGACGCUGGAGGCAGGGCCGCUUCCCGUCCAGGCCUUCCUCUUCCUCAUCUGCAGGACCAUCCACAAGGCUGAGGAACAUGUUCAGCUUCCUGCAAGGACUCAGUCGCUGGGGGGAAAAACAAACGCACGUCCUCUUUGCUUUGACGGCCUGGUGAAGUGAAGCGGUCAUCCAAGGAAAGAGACUCUUUCGAUGGUGGUGAGGACCGCAGUCUGAGCACCUGGACAGUUCCACAAAAUAGAUUUUCCACACAAUUUUCAUCAUGGGUCCGCACUCUGGUCUGCAAUAGUUUCCCACUGGCCGACUUCACCAGCCAGCGGCAAGGAGACGAUCGUCAAUAUCAUCCAACAUGUCAUGUUUAAAAAAUGUUUGCCUUUUACUUUGCAAAAAAA
Long non-coding RNA from Syngnathoides biaculeatus (alligator pipefish), 3877 nucleotides. RefSeq lists it as uncharacterized. The record is from RefSeq and is a predicted model, not a curated record. NCBI's taxonomy places the organism in Eukaryota, Metazoa, Chordata, Actinopteri, Syngnathiformes, Syngnathidae. The transcript is spliced from 17 exons.